RNAcentral lists this ribosomal RNA (403 nucleotides) under uncultured bacterium. RNAcentral describes it as "bacterial SSU rRNA". It matches the Rfam family "Bacterial small subunit ribosomal RNA", at positions 355 to 776 of the family's 1533-position model. The record is from RNAcentral.
UGGGGAAUUUUGCGCAAUGGGGGAAACCCUGACGCAGCAACGCCGCGUGCGGGACGAAGGCCCUCGGGUCGUAAACCGCUUUCAGCAGGGAAGACCACGACGGUACCUGCAGAAGAAGCUCCGGCUAACUACGUGCCAGCAGUCGCGGUAAUACGUAGGGGGCGAGCGUUAUCCGGAUUCAUUGGGCGUAAAGCGCGCGUAGGCGGCCGCCUAAGCGGAACCUCUAACCCCGGGGCUCAACCUCGGGCCGGGUUCCGGACUGGGCGGCUCGAGUGCGGUAGAGGAGAGCGGAAUUCCCGGUGUAGCGGUGGAAUGCGCAGAUAUCGGGAAGAACACCGAUGGCGAAGGCAGCUCUCUGGGCCGUCACUGACGCUGAGGCGCGAAAGCUGGGGGAGCGAACAGG